Molecule: ribosomal RNA, 253 nt
Filed under: uncultured bacterium
Lineage: Bacteria
Description: partial 16S ribosomal RNA
Rfam family: Bacterial small subunit ribosomal RNA
Source: RNAcentral
UACGUAGGCAGCGAGCGUUGUUCGGAGUUACUGGGCGUAAAGCGUGCGUAGGCGGUGGCCCAAGUCUGGUGUGAAAUCUCCCGGCUUAACCGGGAGGGUGCGCCGGAAACUGGGCUGCUGGAGUACGGGAGAGGCAAGCGGAAUUCCUGGUGUAGCGGUGAAAUGCGUAGAUAUCAGGAGGAACACCCGUGGUGCAGACGGCUUGCUGGACCGUGACUGAUGCUGAGGCACGAAAGCGUGGGUAGCAAACAGG